Molecule: ribosomal RNA, 253 nt
Filed under: uncultured bacterium
Lineage: Bacteria
Description: partial 16S ribosomal RNA
Rfam family: Bacterial small subunit ribosomal RNA
Source: RNAcentral
UACGAGGGGGGCAAAUGUUGUUCGGAUUCAUUGGGCGUAAAGGGUGCGUAGGCGGCGCGGUAAGUCGGGUGUGAAAUCUCGGAGCUUAACUCCGAAACUGCAUUCGAUACUGCCGUGCUUGAGGACUGGAGAGGAGACUGGAAUUUACGGUGUAGCGGUGAAAUGCGUAGAUAUCGUAAGGAAGACCAGUGGCGAAGGCGGGUCUCUGGACAGUUCCUGACGCUGAGGCACGAAGGUCAGGGGAGCAAACGGG